AGUGAACGCUGGCGGUAGGCUUAACACAUGCAAGUCGAACGGCAGCACAGUAAGAGCUUGCUCUUACGGGUAGCGAGUGGCGGACGGGUGAGGAAUACAUCGGAAUCUACUUUUUCGUGGGGGAUAACGUAGGGAAACUUACGCUAAUACCGCAUACGACCUACGGGUGAAAGCAGGGGAUCUUCGGACCUUGCGCGAUUGAAUGAGCCGAUGUCGGAUUAGCUAGUUGGCGGGGUAAAGGCCCACCAAGGCGACGAUCCGUAGCUGGUCUGAGAGGAUGAUCAGCCACACUGGAACUGAGACACGGUCCAGACUCCUACGGGAGGCAGCAGUGGGGAAUAUUGGACAAUGGGCGCAAGCCUGAUCCAGCCAUACCGCGUGGGUGAAGAAGGCCUUCGGGUUGUAAAGCCCUUUUGUUGGGAAAGAAAAGCAGCAGGUUAAUACCCCGCUGUUCUGACGGUACCCAAAGAAUAAGCACCGGCUAACUUCGUG
This 492-nucleotide ribosomal RNA is filed under the name uncultured bacterium. RNAcentral's name for it is "partial 16S ribosomal RNA". It matches the Rfam family "Bacterial small subunit ribosomal RNA", at positions 29 to 507 of the family's 1533-position model. The record is from RNAcentral.